GAUGAAGAACGUAGCGAAAUGCGAUAAGUAGUGUGAAUUGCAGAAUUCAGUGAAUCAUCGAGUCUUUGAACGCACAUUGCGCCCCCUGGUAUUCCGGGGGGCAUGCCUGUCCGAGCGUCAUUACAACCCUCAGGCCCCCGGGCCUGGCGUUGGGGAUCGGCGGAGCCCCCCGUGGGCACACGCCGUCCCCCAAAUGCAGUGGCGGUCCCGCCGCAGCUUCCAUCGCGUAGUAGCUAACACCUCGCGACUGGAGAGCGGCGCGGCCACGCCGUAAAACACCCAACUCUUCUGAAGUUGACCUCGAAUCAGGUAGGAAUACCCGCUGAACUUAAGCAUAUCAAUAAGCGGAGGA
This 352-nucleotide unclassified non-coding RNA is filed under the name soil metagenome. RNAcentral describes it as "partial contains 5.8S ribosomal RNA, internal transcribed spacer 2, and large subunit ribosomal RNA". The stretch from base 1 to 120 matches the Rfam family "5.8S ribosomal RNA", at positions 35 to 154 of the family's 154-position model. The record is from RNAcentral.